GCCGCGAUCGUCUAGUGGUUAGGAACCCUGCGUUGUGGCCGCAGUAACCCAGGUUCAAAUCCUGGUCACGGCA
RNAcentral lists this transfer RNA (73 nucleotides) under Desmophyllum pertusum. RNAcentral's name for it is "Lophelia pertusa tRNA". It matches the Rfam family "tRNA". Rfam says of the family: Transfer RNA (tRNA) molecules are approximately 80 nucleotides in length. Their secondary structure includes four short double-helical elements and three loops (D, anti-codon, and T loops). Lineage: Eukaryota; Metazoa; Cnidaria; Anthozoa; Scleractinia; Caryophylliidae. The record is from Rfam by way of RNAcentral.